Molecule: long non-coding RNA, 1446 nt
Filed under: Volvox carteri
Lineage: Eukaryota; Viridiplantae; Chlorophyta; Chlorophyceae; Chlamydomonadales; Volvocaceae
Description: long non-coding RNA (VCAR_LNC003007)
Source: RNAcentral
UAUGGUUUUUGAGCUGUUGAAGGCGUCGUCGUAACUGCCUUAUGCUUGAAACACGUGGGAGGCCAUGCCAUAAGCCGGUGACGGGAAAGGCGAUGCUUGAUUUCCUUACAACGAGUCUUAACCUAACCCAUUUGCCCAAUUCCUGCAUCAAAGACUUCAUCAAGCAACCACUCGAUAACAGUGGCCCAAAGGGGUGCUGUGGGGCCCCCCCAGUGGGUUCACAGCCCUUUCCGUACUACGUGGACGGCAACAGAAACGUAUGACAGGAGCCGAAAAAUGCAAAACAGACAAAAUCUAAACGCCUUUGUAAACAACUGAACAACAUAUCGUUAAUUAAUAUUCUUCGUCUUGUCGACACCAGCUGCAAAUCAUCUCCAGCAUUCCCCCCGCAACUUAUCCGUGCAUCAUAAGUGCAGAUGCGCAGAUUGUUGUUGCUGUGGCUUUAUUAAUAUUGGGAAUCGCUGGAAAAUCGGAUACUAGUGGAUACCCUUAUCAAAACGACGGCUUAGCCUCCCCCGUGCGAACUUUGGCGUUUCUCUCCUUCAUAGCCUCCUUGCGCUCAGCACGUCUGCGAUUAAGCAAGGAAUCCCCAAUCAGAAACAGCAGGUGAACAUGAAAGAAGGGUUUGCAUGUGUGGAAAGGAUACCUUGCCUUGCCUACCGAGGUGCAUGUACGCCCUGACCCGGCACGAGACAGACAGACUUACAUCCCUACAUAUACUUGCUAACCCCCCAAGACUUACUGUUGCUGCAACAGCUCAGCCCUGCUCAACUUCUUGUUUGCAGCUGCUUGUGCAACAGGUGCGCUUAGCGCCGAAGCAGCGAGGGGCGACAGGAUCGCGCCCAAAACUGAGCGACGGGAGACUGGUACCGGCACAGGUGCCGGAAUCUGAAAAAAAGGACAGGAACAGGUCAAAAGCAAAGAUGUUAUGGUCACAUAGCGAAAUGAGGCAGAUGCAAGGGCAAGGCAGGCUUUCAACCGGCUGACGUGGAAAGCGCCGCAUGCCAUCCCGGCGAGUUGCAUAGGCUAGUUUCCCGAUCGUGACGUUUUUUCCACAGUGAAAUGUAUCCUGGAAAUUUCUUCCCGGAUGCUUACUGGGCUGGAUUGCUGAGCAGCCACUGUCAUUGUUGCCUUGCGCAGAGUUGCCAUGGUUGGUAAGAGCUCUCCGACAGCAGAGCGAGCCUACAAAGGCAAUAUCGAGGCUCCUUAUCGUCCGAAGGCUCGCGACAGAUGAUCUCGCGAAAGCAUUCCUUUCAGACCCUCACCACCAGGGAAUGAGCAGUAUUGACCGACAGGUAACCAGAUGGUUCCACAACUAAAGACAACCCUUAUAACAUAACCACGAAAAAGCCCCGAAGCGGUUGAUAACAUUCACCUCUUAACCUGUCGCUCUUCCCGUACCUUUGACCGAGAGUGUUUGACUUUUUUUUGCUAAGUCGAUGUGGC